UACGGAGGGUGCAAGCGUUGCUCGGAAUCACUGGGCGUAAAGCGCACGCAGGCGGCUAUUCAAGUCGGAUGUGAAAGCCCCGGGCUCAACCCGGGAACUGCAUUCGAAACUGGAUGGCUUGAGUUCGAGAGAGGGUGGUGGAAUUCCUGGUGUAGAGGUGAAAUUCGUUGAUAUCAGGAGGAACACCGGCGGCGAAGGCGGCCACCUGGCUCGAUACUGACGCUCAUGUGCGAAAGCGUGGGGAGCAAACAGG
RNAcentral lists this ribosomal RNA (253 nucleotides) under uncultured bacterium. Its description in RNAcentral is "partial 16S ribosomal RNA". It matches the Rfam family "Bacterial small subunit ribosomal RNA", at positions 524 to 776 of the family's 1533-position model. The record is from RNAcentral.